Molecule: long non-coding RNA, 826 nt
Filed under: Homo sapiens (human)
Lineage: Eukaryota; Metazoa; Chordata; Mammalia; Primates; Hominidae
Description: long intergenic non-protein coding RNA 2997
Source: RNAcentral
ACAGCUGAGCCGUGUGAAGAGGCUGACAGCGGCGUGGCCACCACCCAGGAUGGAGAGAAAGGCACUGUGAGGUGUUAAUGGAAAAAUCCAACUUCCUUUUCUUCCAAAGAUGAUGACUGAAACCAAAGUGGAGCUUUCCCUGAAACUUUCUGAGAUGCAAGUGGGUGUUAAAUGGUUCAGCAAAGCCAAGCCAGAGCAGUUGGUGUGCUUUGAAAUGAAGCAACAUUGGAAAAAUGAAAUCUACUGAAAGAUCACUACGUGUUUCAAAGGCCUUCAGACUCAGACUGGAACUGCACCGUUGGCUCUCCUGGGUGGGUCUCCAGCUUGCUGACCACAGACCUUGAGACUUCUCAGCCUUUAGAAUCAUGGAAGCCAAUUCCUUAUAAUAAUAUAUAUCCUUUUCCUAGUCUGUGGACUUUUCCCAGCUCCAGACAGACAACCUUCUAUAAACUCCAGGAUGCUCCAUCAAUGCCGUCUGGACUCUACAGAUUUUGACCCUGAAGUAAAGUAGGAAAGGCUAUGAGGACAUGUUAAAUGUUGUACUACCGCCUGAAGCCUUUUCUUCUUUAAAUUUUUCAACAAGAGUUGAAUGCACACGUGGAGCUUAAUUGGACAACAACUUUUCUCCUCUUCUGUGGGAUCCCGUCAGUGCUUUAAGCAAUGAGAAGGCAGCUCAUUUCCAAGUUUGUGUGGUAAGAAAGCUGGGACCCAGAAAAAUGCACUGAUUUACCCAAGGAAGCAGAGCUGGGAACAGAAUACGAGGCUUCUAAUCUACUGAUCAUUUCACUGUGUCACACUAUUUAAGAUGUAGAAACAGCUGAAUUCA